AAAUGUUUCAGAAAAUCUAUGUAUAAACAUAUCUAAACACUACCAAAAUAAUAAAAAUAGAACUAUUCGAAAGAUUCCAGACAAACCUAGUGAACCAAAACUGAUUGAAAAAGCACUGGAGAUGCCAAAAAUUAAUUUGGAUAUUGCUGAAAUUCAUGAAAAUCCCACAAAUGCAAACAAUCAUAUAAAAAACAUAGCUCAUACAGAGAUCAAGAACAAAAAUGAAUACAUAAUAUCCAAAUGGAUAAUGAAAAAAAGAAAGCAAGAAAUUUAG
This is a long non-coding RNA of Achroia grisella, 274 nucleotides long. RefSeq lists it as uncharacterized. Lineage: Eukaryota; Metazoa; Arthropoda; Insecta; Lepidoptera; Pyralidae. The transcript has 3 exons. The record is from RefSeq and is a predicted model, not a curated record.